GCAGACAGUCGGCUUGGAUAAUCGGCUCACCGUGAUUGAGCCCAGACAAUACGCAGUAGUGGCAUCGGUUGUCUGCUAAAAACGACGAUAUGACGACGGGAUUGCUGGUGGGAUGCGCUACGGCGCUGAUUCUGGUUUUUGCCGGCAAUAACGAUGCGGCCGUUAUGAAAGGCACACUAUCUUGGCAGAUCGAAGUGACCGCCUUCUUCUCGUACAAGUCCACCGCCGACCGGGACAGUAUGCUGCAGCAAAUACUGGAUGUGUGGAAAACAAAAUUUGAUGAUAAAUACCAGCUGUACGAUGAGAAGAUCACGGUCGUCACCGAACUGCCGGGUCCAGAAGCCUUCGAGCAGUACAAACAGCUGACAUUCCGCAUCAGCGGGAAAGGACCAACCGGCUUCAAUCUCAAGCCCCUUGUCAGCAGUUUUAACACCGCUAUUACGGCGGCCGCUAUUCCCGGCGUGGAACUCUAUCUGACCAGCGGCUCCAGCACUGACGGCUCGACAAGGUUCAAUGUCGACGUCCAGGCCAACUUUGUGUACUCGUCCAGUGGAGCUCGGGAUCGUCUUUUGCAGCAGAUUCUGGCUCUGUUCAAGACCCAAUUCGCGAGUUAUUCCUUCACCAACCUGAAAAUCGCCGUCCAAUCGGAACAACCGUCGGACGUGGAGGGAGCCAAACUGUUGACCUUCCGUAUCUCUGGUCAGAGCAGCGGUGACAUCGAUAUUAAGACGCUCAACACCAAAUUCAUGGCGGCCAUCAAGACCUCCAAGAUUACCGGUAUCACCCUGCCUGAAUCCAGCGGCGACACCGACGAAGCUACCACAGCUUCGACGGAAACGGACGAGGGUGCCACAUCCAGCAACGACACUGACGAAGGCACAUCAGCCACGGGUGGCAAUAAAUUUACCGUCACGUUUAACGUCGUCGUCAAGUACAACACCCAGACGGAGCUGGACGCCAUCCUGCAACAAAUCCUGCAGAUUUUUAAACAGAAAUACGGUUCCCUGUACGGCGCCACACAAAUUACCAUCAAAGUCACCGGGAACAAACCAAACCCGUCUGGAGGAUUCUCGUUGACCAUUGUGAUUACCGGCUCCAGCAAGACACCGAUCAACGUUACCAAAGUUACCAAGGAAUUUGUUACUGUCGUUUCGUCUUCAAAGAUCACGGGAGUACAGAUCGUCACGGGAGGCAGCGCUACCGGCGGUGGUAGCGGCACCUCGGAAGAGGGUGGUGAGACCGAAGAAGGAACCACGCCCAAGGCUGAUACUGAGGAAGGAACCACACUGUCAUCUGAAACCGAAGGUGGUUCCACACCAAAAUCAGAAACCGAGGAAGGUACCACGCCAGCUUCAGGAACCGAGGAAGGUACCACGCCAGCUUCAGGAACCGAGGAAGGUACCACGCCAACGUCAGGAAGCGAGGAUGGUACCACACCUAAAUCUGGAACCGAAGAAGGCACUACACCAGCUUCCGGAACCGAGGAAGGUACUACACCAAGAUCAGGUACUGAGGAAGGUACCACGUCAGCUUCAGGAACCGAGGAAGGCACCAUGCCAAAUUCCGGAACCGAAGACGGUACCACACCUCAGGCUGGCACGGAAGAGGGUACUACACCCAAAACCGAUACAGAUGAGGCGACCACACCCAAGAACGAUAGCGAAGAAGGCACAACACCGCAGUCAAAGCCUGAUGAUGGCACUAGCGAUUCCGGCAACACGUUCACGUUGGAAUACACCGUUAUACUACGCUUUGUCACCCCGGUGCAGCGCGACCGUUUGCUGCAGCAGAUCCUGCAAUUGUGGAUCAAAACUUACGGUGGUAAAUACGGCGUGGUCAAUCCACAGAUCACUGCCACUGGCUCUGCGAAACCGAGCACCAGCGUCACCGGUUCCUUCGUGGUGACUUACACCAUCACCGGCACGAGUAGCACCCCGGUUCCCGACACCGUCAAAGUGGACUUUAACAAGGUUCUGAACAACGCUAAGAUCAGCGGAGUGGUGGUCGACGAGGACACCACCCAGGGCGACAACAGCGUGGAAGGCAGCACGGGUGACGGAUCCAGCGGGGAUCAGGAGGUCACCAAUACCGGGGCGGCAGGACGCGAUCUGUGCAGUACCGUCAGCGUCAACCAGAUCAACGGCCGAACCAUUACACGUGGAACCUUCAGCACCAACUUCACGGUGUACUUAACGUACAAGACCGCAUCAGUCAGGAAUGACAUCUUGCAGAAGCUGUUGGCUAUUUGGGGCGACACCUUAGAUCAGGCCACCAAGCUGAAAAUGUGUUUCUACACGGAGCAGCUGAGCAUCGGGAAACUGGAAGGCGGACUGGUGGUCAACAAGGUCACCUACGGGAUCAGCGGUAUGGCCACGGUGAAUUUCAAUACCGCGGCGGUGGCCAAAGUCUUCGAGCAAGCUGUUGCUGACUCCAGCCUGCAGAAUGUCUUCUUUACCACCGAUUUCGGAGACUGCAGCACCAAAGCCGUUCCUGACACCAAUCAGUUCACGAUUACCGUCAGCGUGAUCAUUAAGUACAAGUCACAAACGGAGCUGGACACCAUUUUACAGCAGAUCCUCAGGCUUUGGAUCCAGAAAUACGGUUCGAUUUACGGCGCUACCCGUGUCACGAUUAAAGUAACCGGAAAGAAACCCAAUCCCAGCGGAGGCUUCUCGUUGACAAUCGUCAUUUCCGGAUCCAGCAGAACCGUGAUCGAUGUCACUAAAGUUACCAAGGAGUUCAUCACCGUCAUUUCUAAAUCCAAGAUCACCGGAGUGACAAUUACCACUGGCGGUAGCGUUACCGGUGGUGGCAGUGCCACAUCGGAGGAAGGUGGUGAAACCGAAGAAGGAACCACACCAAAAUCUCAAGCCGAGGAAGGUACCACACCGAAAUCGGAAACCGAAGAGGGAACCACACCCAAAUCCGAAACCGAAGAGGGAACCACACCCAAGUCGGAAACCAACGAAGGCACAACCCCGUCUGGAAACACCGACGAAGGUACCACCCCGAAAUCGCACACCGGUUCCACACCUCAGCCUGAUGUUGACCUGGACACCACACCUAAAUCCGGAACGGAGGAAGGUACCACGCCGAACUCAGGAACCGAAGAAGGAACCACACCCAAAGCCGAUACCGAAGAACGUACCACCCCGCAGUCGAAAACCGAAGAGGGCACCACGCCCAGCGGCGAGACCGAAGAAGGUACUCCGUCCACGGGCGGCAACAAGUUCACCGUGACUGUCAACGUCAUCGUUAAGUAUAGUACGCAAACGGAAUUGGACGCUAUUCUGCAACAACUCUUGAAGAUCUGGAUCCAGAAAUACGGUUCGCUGUACGGUGCGACACACGUUACCAUUAAGGUCACUGGAAAGAAACCAAACCCAAGCGGAGGAUUCUCCUUGACCAUUAUCAUUACCGGCUCCAGCAAGACCGUGAUCAACGUCACCAAAGUCACCAAGGGAAUUCGUUACGGUUAUUUCCUCUUCCAAAAUUACCGGAGUGCAGAUCAUCACAGGAGGUAGCGUGACCGGUGGUGGCAGCGGUACAUCGGAGGAAGGCGGAGAGACCGAAGAAGGAACUACCCCCAAAAGUGAAACCGAGGAGGGCACCACACCAAAAUCAGGAACCGAAGAAGGAACAUCGCCCAAGACCGACUCUGAGGAAGGAACCACACCCAA
This is an RNA transcript of Paramacrobiotus metropolitanus, 3680 nucleotides long. It is a transcript of the gene named mucin-17-like, with no coding region annotated. Lineage: Eukaryota; Metazoa; Tardigrada; Eutardigrada; Parachela; Macrobiotidae. The transcript has 16 exons. The record is from RefSeq and is a predicted model, not a curated record.